This 533-nucleotide long non-coding RNA is filed under the name Nicotiana benthamiana. RNAcentral's name for it is "long non-coding RNA (NBEN_LNC017537)". Lineage: Eukaryota; Viridiplantae; Streptophyta; Magnoliopsida; Solanales; Solanaceae. The record is from RNAcentral.
UGAUAAAUAGUUUGAAAUUAAUAAGUAUAAAGUGAUUAACAAAACCUAGAGAAGACCCCAACCAAGCGUUUCCCCUCUCCUCCUUCUCACCCAAAACAAACAAAACAACCCUAGGAACCAACAGAAGAAGCAACAGCCGCCGCCGGAGCUCCUCUACCUCUUAAUAGCCGACGCUGCCCUGCCCCUUUCAUUCCCAUAUCUCUCUCCCUCCUCUCAAAAACCAUUCACCAAACGACCACCCUUCACUAACCUAGCCACAGAAGCCACCAUGGUCGCUGCUCCACCCACCACCGAAAAACAACCACCACAACACCCCUCUCAAGCCAGAAGCAGUAGCCGCCCUAGCCGUCCACCCUCUUCCACCAACAACAACUAUCCUACGCCUCCUCCGUCUCUAACGCCGACGACAAUCUUCAGUCCAAAAAUGAGGGAAAUAGGAGCCGAAAACAGUCAGAUAAAAAAAAGAAAAGAAAAAAACAAAUAGAAGAAAAGAGGAAACGAAAACAGAAAGAUGAACUAAGGCUUGGUUUUGG